GGGUUGUGAGGUUAAGCGACUAAGCGUACACGGUGGAUGCCCUGGCAGUCAGAGGCGAUGAAGGACGUGCUAAUCUGCGAAAAGCGUCGGUAAGGUGAUAUGAACCGUUACAGCCGGCGAUGUCCGAAUGGGGAAACCCAGUGCAAUUCGUUGCACUAUCGUUAACUGAAUACAUAGGUUAACGAGGCGAACCGGGGGAACUGAAACAUCUAAGUACCCCGAGGAAAAGAAAUCAACCGAGAUUCCCCCAGUAGCGGCGAGCGAACGGGGAGCAGC
This 276-nucleotide ribosomal RNA is filed under the name Klebsiella variicola. Its description in RNAcentral is "partial 23S ribosomal RNA". It matches the Rfam family "Bacterial large subunit ribosomal RNA", at positions 1 to 268 of the family's 2925-position model. Lineage: Bacteria; Pseudomonadati; Pseudomonadota; Gammaproteobacteria; Enterobacterales; Enterobacteriaceae. The record is from RNAcentral.